AUGCCACACACACAAAAUCCCCAAUUGAAAUUAAAAAAGAAACCUCUCCCUAGUGAUUCAAGAAAAACACAAAACCUCCACUUUCGCGGUCUCUAUUCCUGUACCUAUCCCUGUUCUUAUCCCUUUCACGAGCAUCGUCGUGGUUGCGGCAGUCGGAGUCAGCGGAGGGUUUGGAAUCGGCUACGGAAUCGGAGGAAGGUCGAUCACGAGAAAGGAGCUGCUCUUGGCGGCGCUUUUGGUUGGCGAUUUUCCUCCUGGUGGCGCUGGAGUGCCAAUUGCUCGUGCUGGGCUUUGGUAAGGAAGACGGGCUUGGAUGGUGCGACAGAGUUGAUGGCUAGCCGCUACAUCCUUCCUAGUCACAGAUCUGCUCAAGCUUCCGCAUAGCUCCUGCGCACGAAAGAAAGGGGGAGAGACACGUCCGUUAUUUGUCCCUUCGCUGUGAAGUCGUCCUCAACCUUCCUCCUUGCUAUGUUGUGCGCCGCUCGAACGCACCCUCUUCCCGUUUCCUGGAAAUGAAAAAGAAGGAGAAGGAACUCCAAUCUAAGGAGGCUGAAUUGAGAAGACGGGAACAGGAUCUGAGAAGAAAAGAAGAAGCAGUUGUACGAGGCAUACAUUUUCUUUAUGGCUCCAUUCUUGGAAGACCUUAAUGUUUGCUGGAGCUGUUGGAGAUUCUCUUAGUUCUGUUAUAUAUGUUCCAUGCGAAGUGAUGAAGCAACGCAUGCAAGUGCAGGGGACAUAUUCAUCUUGGAGUUCUAUCGCCAUGAAUGAAGGCAUUGCAAUGAAUUCUAGCCAAAAACUGUAUGGUUAUUAUACAGGGAUGUUCCAUGCGGGCUGCUCAAUAUGGAGAACACAGGGAUUAAAGGGUUUAUAUGCAGGGUUGAAUUGCUUAGACAAUCAUUGACAGCUAUUGAAGAGCUACAUCUUAUUGGAAACAAUAUAAGCAGAGUACUGGUACAUUUUGUUUUUGGUUCAUUAUUCAUGUUAAAUAUCUUAACGUCUGUACACUCAGAUAUCCUCUCAUCAUGAGUACCUAUUUCUAAACUAUAGAGAGCAGUUUAAUAAACAAUAGAAAUUGAACCAUUUUGAUCACACUGCGAGAUUUCUCUAAAUCAUAGUCUCAGAAUGGAAUCCCAUUAAAGAAGGGAAUAGCAUUGUUGAUAUAUUCUUCUUUCUUUAGCAUUUUGUCAGCCUUUAUUGCUCACCUCCUCAAAGGUUUGUCAUUUUACAUGUAGCGGGGCAGUAAGUUUAUUAUUAUUAUUAUUAUUAAAGCAAGCUAAUAAUCAUGUUUCUCAUCUAGUGAAUAGUUAAUUAUGAUAAUCGCAAUAAAAAUACUAC
Arachis duranensis is the source of this 1335-nucleotide long non-coding RNA. RefSeq lists it as uncharacterized. Lineage: Eukaryota; Viridiplantae; Streptophyta; Magnoliopsida; Fabales; Fabaceae. The record is from RefSeq and is a predicted model, not a curated record. The transcript is spliced from 5 exons.